GCUUAGUCGUAAACCAAGGCAGCAACCAAAUUUCGCCUGCCCGCCAGAGUACUACAAGUGAAAAACUUAAAACUCAAAGGACUUGACGGCAUUCCACACCACACUAGAGGAGCCUGUCCUACAACCGAUAACCCACGUUCCACCCCACCUGUCCUAGCACAAACCCAGCCUAUAUACCGCCGUCUACCAGCUCGCCCUGCAAAAGCACCCCAGCGGGCAAACCAGUCCAACACUACUACGUCAGGUCAAGGUGUAGCUAAUGCACAGGCAGAGAUGGGCUACAUUUUCUCCCCAAUAGAAAACCACCACCCGCACCAUGAAACAAGUGCUCAAAGGAGGAUUUAGCAGUAAGCCGCGCAAGCCUGCCCGACUGAACAACGCCAUGGAAUGCGUACAC
This 397-nucleotide ribosomal RNA is filed under the name Hemidactylus saba. RNAcentral describes it as "partial 12S ribosomal RNA". It matches the Rfam family "Bacterial small subunit ribosomal RNA", at positions 794 to 1388 of the family's 1533-position model. Lineage: Eukaryota; Metazoa; Chordata; Lepidosauria; Squamata; Gekkonidae. The record is from RNAcentral.